UUAGUUAAGAUGGAUUUUAGGGCCCAGAGACCCCAUAAACUCCCUCGUGUCCGCUGACGCGCAGAGGAAUGAUUUCCAGUUACGCAUCAGCCACCCAGAGCAACGCUGGCCUCCCACCAGGCAGUGUCUCUGGAUUUCCUUCAUGGCAUUCCUUGUGCUUGGACUUAUGGCUUCUGCUAUCAGUCUUGAGAUCACCUUUGGGAUACCUGUGAAACCUGCAAUCUUGCGAGGUGAUGGUUGUUAUCACCAUUAUCACCCUUAUGAGCAGAGACUCGGAGAAGUUAGGUGACUUGCCCAAGAUCCAUGUAGUUGGUAAAUCUACAAGCUGGAAUUCCAAUCCAGGUCCGCCCAACUCUGAAGCUCACACAGGACAUGGUUUCUACCUUCAAGGAGUUUCUGCUGUAAGUAGGGAGACUAGGGAAACAGUGGUGAACAAGACAGAAGAGCGAAUGAUUCAGUAUUUGGUUGGGUUGGUGUUAAACAUUGUUGGUGAUUUGAGAGAAAUCAGCUCCUCAUGGAUUAGGGGAUACAAACUGUGGUGUCAUCUGCCUCUUAAUUAUCAACCUGGU
Molecule: long non-coding RNA, 569 nt
Organism: Diceros bicornis minor
Lineage: Eukaryota; Metazoa; Chordata; Mammalia; Perissodactyla; Rhinocerotidae
Exons: 3
Source: RefSeq, a predicted model, not a curated record